Molecule: non-coding RNA, 88 nt
Organism: Bombyx mori (domestic silkworm)
Lineage: Eukaryota; Metazoa; Arthropoda; Insecta; Lepidoptera; Bombycidae
Source: Rfam
UUAACUCAGAUUUGUAUGGAGUUGAAACGUUUGCCUACGUUUGCCGCUAGGGGCGCUGUUCCAACUGCAUACAAAAACUUUUACGCUA